CAACUCACCUAGCAGGGAAAUACCAUGAUCAUGAAGGUGGUUUUACCAGGGUGAGGCUUAUCCAUUAUACUCUGGAUGUGCUGACCUCUGUGAUUUCCUCAAAUGUGAGAAAUUCAACUGCAUAAUCUGUAGUAGUGGAGAACUGUGUUUGUGAUUUCCC
Molecule: small nuclear RNA, 160 nt
Filed under: Octodon degus (degu)
Lineage: Eukaryota; Metazoa; Chordata; Mammalia; Rodentia; Octodontidae
Description: U1 spliceosomal RNA (ENSODEG00000021069.1)
Rfam family: U1 spliceosomal RNA
About the family: U1 is a small nuclear RNA (snRNA) component of the spliceosome (involved in pre-mRNA splicing). Its 5' end forms complementary base pairs with the 5' splice junction, thus defining the 5' donor site of an intron.
Source: RNAcentral